This 1740-nucleotide ribosomal RNA is filed under the name Triticum aestivum (bread wheat). RNAcentral describes it as "partial small subunit ribosomal RNA". Lineage: Eukaryota; Viridiplantae; Streptophyta; Magnoliopsida; Poales; Poaceae. The record is from RNAcentral.
AUGGAGGGUGGCCGGGUGCUUACGGUUCUCCUCCUGGUGCUCCUGCUGGUCGGCCUCGCUGGCUCGAGCCCUCCGCCGGAGCCGGUGGUCUGUGCCCACGGCACGUCCGAUUGCACUGUCUCCAACGCGUACGGCUCCUUCCCGGACCGCACCGUCUGCCACGCCGCCAACGCCACCUUCCCGCGCACCGAGAAGGAGCUAGUCGCGGCCGUGGCGGUCGCUGUGGCGGCCAAGCGCAAGGUGAAGGUGGCCACCAAGCUCUCCCACAGCUUCCCCAAGCUGGCCUGCCCCGGCGGCCGCGACGGCACCAUCAUAAGCACGGAGCGGCUCAACCGGGUGGUAAGCGUCGACGUCGCCAAGGGGUUGAUGACGGUAGAAAGCGGCAUGGUGCUCCGCGACCUGAUCGAGGUGGCCGCCGAGGCAGGGUUGGCGCUGCCGCACUCGCCGUACUGGUCAGGGCUCACCAUCGGAGGCCUGCUGGCCACGGGCGCGCACGGCAGUUCGCUCAAGGGUAAGGGCGGCGCCGUGCACGAGUACGUGGUCGGGAUGAGGAUCGUCACGCCGGCACCGAGGAGCCAAGGGUUCGCGGUGGUACGGCAGCUCUGCGCCGACCAUCCUGACCUCGACGCGGCCAAGGUCUCCCUCGGCGUCCUGGGCGUCGUUUCCCAGGUUACACUGGCCUUGGAGCCGAUGUUCAAGCGGUCGGUGACGUUCGUGACACGCAAUGACUCUGACAUGGCAGAGCAGGCCGUCGUGUGGGGUGGCCUCCAUGAAUUUGGCGAUAUGGCGUGGCUGCCACAGCAGCGCAAUGUUAUUUACCGCAAGGACAAUCGCGUGGCCAUCACGUCAGUGGGUAACGACCUCAAUGACUACCUGGCCUUGCGAUCCAGUCCGACGGCCGACCUCAUCAGCGGCAGAGUCAUGCACGAGCUUCUUGAGAAGAAGAACAACACCGUCGCUCGGUGCAAGGAGGCACCCACGUCUGCAUCGCUGUUUGAGAAGGCAGCAUACGGCUUUACAAACAACGACAGCUUGUUCAUGGGGUAUCCGGUGGUAGGAUUCCAGCACCGCAUCCAAGCAUCCGGUUCGUGUCUCGAAAACCCAGAAGACGCACUCCUCACUACGUGUCCGUGGGAUCCCCGCAUCCGGGGAAUCUUCUUCUACAACAAUGCCUACAGCAUCGCGCUCUCUAGGGUGCCAGCAUUCAUCGCCGACAUGAAGCAGCUCCGUAAUAGCAACCCGAAGGCCUUCUGCGGAAUCGACGCCAGUUUGGGUAUUCUCCUCCGCUAUAUCAAGGCAUCCUCUGCCUACCUCGGCAAGCCGGAGGACUCGGUCGACUUUGAUAUAACCUACUACCGGAGCUACACCAAGGGUGAGCCCAACCCACACUCUGACGUGCUCGACGAACUCCAACAGAUGGCGCUACACAAGUAUGGCGCCAUCCCUCACUGGGGCAAGAACCGCAACUUUGCCUUUGAAGGCGCCAUUGCCAAGUACCCCGAGGCUGGCAAGUUCCUAGAGGUAAAGGGCAGGUAUGACCCUGAUGGGAUCUUCUCCAGUGAAUGGAGUGACCAGGUGCUCGGCAUUAAUGGGAGCCCGAUCAUCGUUGAGAAGGGUUGCGCCAUUGAGGGCCUUUGCGUCUGCUCAGAAGACUCGCAUUGUGCACCGGAGCAGGGCUACUACUGCCGCCCUGGGAAGGUGUACAGGGAGGCGAGGGUCUGCUCGUUCCAACCCAAUUGA